Molecule: ribosomal RNA, 261 nt
Filed under: uncultured bacterium
Lineage: Bacteria
Description: partial 16S ribosomal RNA
Rfam family: Bacterial small subunit ribosomal RNA
Source: RNAcentral
ACUCCUACGGGAGGCAGCAGUGGGGAAUCUUGGACAAUGGGGCAACCCGUGCAUCCAGCCAUGCCGCGUGAGUGAUGAAGGCCUUAGGGUCGUAAAGCUCUUUCGCCUGUGAAGAUAAUGACGGUAGCAGGUAAAGAAACCCCGCGUACAUCCGUGCCAGCAGCCGCGGUAAUACGGAGGGGGUUAGCGUUGUUCGGAAUUACUGGGCGUAAAGCGCACGUAGGCGGAUCGGAAAGUUGGGGGUGAAAUCCCGGGGCUCAA